GCCGGAGUGGUGAAAUGGUAGACACAGCAGACUCAAAAUCUGCCGCAGGCAACUGCAUGCCGGUUCGAGUCCGGCCUCCGGUACCA
This 86-nucleotide transfer RNA is filed under the name Geobacter argillaceus. RNAcentral describes it as "tRNA-Leu". It matches the Rfam family "tRNA". Rfam says of the family: Transfer RNA (tRNA) molecules are approximately 80 nucleotides in length. Their secondary structure includes four short double-helical elements and three loops (D, anti-codon, and T loops). Lineage: Bacteria; Pseudomonadati; Thermodesulfobacteriota; Desulfuromonadia; Geobacterales; Geobacteraceae. The record is from RNAcentral.